GCCUCCUUGGCUCAACCUGGCAGAGCACUCGACUUGUAAUCGAGAGGUUACCGGUUCGAUUCCGGUAGGAGGCUCCA
RNAcentral lists this transfer RNA (77 nucleotides) under Actinomycetota bacterium. Its description in RNAcentral is "Actinobacteria bacterium (groundwater metagenome) tRNA-Thr". It matches the Rfam family "tRNA". Rfam says of the family: Transfer RNA (tRNA) molecules are approximately 80 nucleotides in length. Their secondary structure includes four short double-helical elements and three loops (D, anti-codon, and T loops). The record is from RNAcentral. Lineage: Bacteria; Bacillati; Actinomycetota.